ACACCCCACAGAAACACCCCCAGGGAGAGAUGCAUCCAACACACAACAAUGCACAUCUCAACACACCCAGAAACUACACAAACACUACACAUUUAUCUGACCUUAUCUGGGAACAAGAUAUUUCCACAGGAUCAACCAGUGAACAAGAAAUCAACUCAGAUAAACCUAUUUCAGCGUAUGAUCCAAACCUCCCCAGUGAGUUCUGCCCCUUUGAGUUCUGCCUCAGCUUGUGGUGCACCAGACGACAGCUUUCACAACCAGCCCUGCAACCCAUAUCACCACCAUCCCAGCAGAAAUGCAGCCAAGGCUUUCUUCCAUUCUCC
Passer domesticus (house sparrow) is the source of this 323-nucleotide long non-coding RNA. RefSeq lists it as uncharacterized. The transcript is spliced from 3 exons. NCBI's taxonomy places the organism in Eukaryota, Metazoa, Chordata, Aves, Passeriformes, Passeridae. The record is from RefSeq and is a predicted model, not a curated record.